This 910-nucleotide ribosomal RNA is filed under the name Epholca arenosa. RNAcentral describes it as "partial 16S rRNA". Lineage: Eukaryota; Metazoa; Arthropoda; Insecta; Lepidoptera; Geometridae. The record is from RNAcentral.
UUAUUGUGGUAAAAAUAUUUUUAAUAAUUAUUUAGAAAUGAAAUGUUAUUCGUUUUUAAAUAUAUCUAGUUUUUUUAGAAAAAAAUUUAAUUUUAAAUUUAUUUAUGGAAAAAAUUAAUUAAUUAAUUUUUUCUUAUUUAAAUUUUAUAUUUUAAGGGAUAAGCUUUAAAUUAAAUUUUUAUAAUAAAAUAUUUUAUUAUUUGAAAAUUUUAUAAUUUAUAUUGUUAAUAAAUUUUAUUUUAUUAUAAAUAANUUGCAAAUUAAUUAAAAUUUAAUUGAAAAUUUAAUUUUUUAUAAAAAUAUUAUUUUAAAUAAAAUAAAAAUAAAAAAUAAUGAUAAAAUUAGUAUAUUAUUAAAAUAAAUUAAUUAAAAUUUAAAUAUUAAAAUAAUUAAUUAAAAGUAAUUCGGCAAAUAUUGUAUAUUCACUUGUUUAACAAAAACAUGUCUUUUUGAAAUUAAUUUAAAGUCUAAUCUGCCCACUGAUAAAUAUAUUGAAGGGCUGCAGUAUUUUGACUGUACAAAGGUAGCAUAAUCAUUAGUCUCUUAAAUGGUGACUUGUAUGAAAGAUUGAAUGAAAUAUAUACUGUCUCUUAGUUAAUUUAUAGAAUUUAAUUUUUUAUUUAAAAAGUUAAAAUAAAUUAAAAAGACGAGAAGACCCUAUAGAGUUUAAUAUUAAAAUUUAUUAUUUAAUUGUUUAUAAUAUUUAAAAUUUUUAUAAAUUUGAAUAUUUUAUUGGGGUGAUAAAAAAACAAAUUAAACUUUUUUUAAAUUUAAACAUAAAUAAAUGAAUAAAUGAUCCAUUUUUAUUGAUUAUAAGAUUAAAUUACCUUAGGGAUAACAGCGUAAUAUUUUUUUUUAGUUCAAAUAAGAAAAAAAGUUUGCGACCUCGAUGUUGGAUUAAGAUAAAAUU